GAUGAACGCUGGCGGCGUGCCUAAUACAUGCAAGUCGAGCGAACAGAUGAGGAGCUUGCUCCUCUGACGUUAGCGGCGGACGGGUGAGUAACACGUGGAUAACCUACCUAUAAGACUGGGAUAACUUCGGGAAACCGGAGCUAAUACCGGAUAAUAUAUUGAACCGCAUGGUUCAAUAGUGAAAGACGGUUUUGCUGUCACUUAUAGAUGGAUCCGCGCCGCAUUAGCUAGUUGGUAAGGUAACGGCUUACCAAGGCAACGAUGCGUAGCCGACCUGAGAGGGUGAUCGGCCACACUAGAACUGAGACGCGGUCCAGACUCCUACGGGAGGCAGCAGUAGGGAAUCUUCCGCAAUGGGCGAAAGCCUGACGGAGCAACGCCGCGUGAGUGAUGAAGGUCUUCGGAUCGUAAAACUCUGUUAUUAGGGAAGAACAAAUGUGUAAGUAACUAUGCACGUCUUGACGGUACCUAAUCAGAAAGCCACGGCUAACUACGUG
RNAcentral lists this ribosomal RNA (497 nucleotides) under uncultured bacterium. RNAcentral describes it as "partial 16S ribosomal RNA". It matches the Rfam family "Bacterial small subunit ribosomal RNA", at positions 28 to 507 of the family's 1533-position model. The record is from RNAcentral.